RNAcentral lists this ribosomal RNA (165 nucleotides) under uncultured bacterium. RNAcentral's name for it is "partial 16S rRNA". It matches the Rfam family "Bacterial small subunit ribosomal RNA", at positions 355 to 511 of the family's 1533-position model. The record is from RNAcentral.
UAGGGAAUCUUCCACAAUGGGCGAAAGCCUGAUGGAGCAACGCCGCGUGUGUGAUGAAGGGUUUCGGCUCGUAAAACACUGUUGUAAGAGAAGAAUGACAUUGAGAGUAACUGUUCAAUGUGUGACGGUAAUCUUACCAGAAAGGAACGGCUAAAUACGUGCCAG